This 1396-nucleotide ribosomal RNA is filed under the name uncultured bacterium. RNAcentral describes it as "bacterial SSU rRNA". It matches the Rfam family "Bacterial small subunit ribosomal RNA". The record is from RNAcentral.
AGAGUUUUUUCCUGGCUCAGGACGAACGCUGGCGGCGUGCUUAACACAUGCAAGUCGAACGGAGCACCCCUGAAGGAGUUUUCGGACAACGGAAGGGAAUGCUUAGUGGCGGACUGGUGAGUAACGCGUGAGGAACCUGCCUUCCAGAGGGGGACAACAGUUGGAAACGACUGCUAAUACCGCAUGAUGUGUUUUGAUGGCAUCAUUGAGACACCAAAGAUUUAUCGCUGGAAGAUGGCCUCGCGUCUGAUUAGCUAGUAGGCGGGGUAACGGCCCACCUAGGCGACGAUCAGUAGCCGGACUGAGAGGUUGACCGGCCACAUUGGGACUGAGAUACGGCCCAGACUCCUACGGGAGGCAGCAGUGGGGAAUAUUGGGCAAUGGGCGCAAGCCUGACCCAGCAACGCCGCGUGAAGGAAGAAGGCUUUCGGGUUGUAAACUUCUUUUAAGAGGGAAGAGAAGAAGACGGUACCUCUUGAAUAAGCCACGGCUAACUACGUGCCAGCAGCCGCGGUAAUACGUAGGUGGCAAGCGUUGUCCGGAUUUACUGGGUGUAAAGGGCGUGCAGCCGGGCUGACAAGUCAGAUGUGAAAUCCCGCGGCUCAACCGCGGAACUGCAUUUGAAACUGUCAGUCUUGAGUACCGGAGAGGUCAUCGGAAUUCCUUGUGUAGCGGUGAAAUGCGUAGAUAUAAGGAAGAACACCAGUGGCGAAGGCGGAUGACUGGACGGCAACUGACGGUGAGGCGCGAAAGCGUGGGGAGCAAACAGGAUUAGAUACCCUGGUAGUCCACGCUGUAAACGAUCGAUACUAGGUGUGCGGGGACUGACCCCCUGCGUGCCGCAGUUAACACAAUAAGUAUCGCACCUGGGGAGUACGAUCGCAAGGUUGAAACUCAAAGGAAUUGACGGGGGCCCGCACAAGCGGUGGAUUAUGUGGUUUAAUUCGAAGCAACGCGAAGAACCUUACCAGGGCUUGACAUGGGGAUGACCGGGCUAGAGAUAGUCUUUUCCCUUCGGGGACAUCCCACACAGGUGGUGCAUGGUUGUCGUCAGCUCGUGUCGUGAGAUGUUGGGUUAAGUCCCGCAACGAGCGCAACCCUUAUCCUUAGUAGCCAGCAGGUAGAGCUGGGCACUCUAGGGAGACUGCCAGGGAUAACCUGGAGGAAGGUGGGGAUGACGUCAAAUCAUCAUGCCCCUUAUGAUUUGGGCUACACACGUGCUACAAUGGCGUAAACAAAGGGAAGCGAGAGUGUGAGCUGGAGCAAAUCCCAAAAAUAACGUCUCAGUUCGGACUGCAGGCUGCGACCCGCCUGCACGAAGCUGGAAUCGCUAGUAAUCGCGAAUCAGAAUGUCGCGGUGAAUACGUUCCACGGGUCUUGCACUCACCGCCCGUCA